CCUACGGGAGGCAGCAGUGGGGAAUAUUGCGCAAUGGGGGAAACCCUGACGCAGCAACGCCGCGUGAGUGAGGAAGGACUUCGGUCUGUAAAGCUCUGUUAAUGAGGAAAAAUGGUAGUUGGUCUAAUAGGCCGAUUAUUUGAUGGUACUCAUAGAGGAAGCACCGGCUAACUUCGUGCCAGCAGCCGCGGUAAUACGAAGGGUGCAAGCGUUGUUCGGAUUUAUUGGGCGUAAAGCGCGCGUAGGCGGACCUGCAAGUAAGAUGUGAAAUCUCGAGGCUCAACCUCGAAACUGCGUCUUAAACUACAGGUCUAGAAUCUCGGAGGGGGAAGGGGAAUUUCGCAUGUAGGGGUAAAAUCCGUAGAUAUGCGAAGGAACACCAGAGGCGAAGGCGCCUUCCUGGACGAGUAUUGACGCUGAGGCGCGAAAGCGUGGGGAUCAAACAGGAUUAGAUACCCUGGUAGUCCACGCUGUAAACGAUGAACACUAGGUAUUGGAGGAUUUGACCCCUUCAGUGCCGUAGCUAACGCGUUAAGUGUUCCGCCUGGGAAGUACGGUCGCAAGCUAAAACUCAAAUGAAUUGACGGCUGAGACGNGCGAGACGACGACGAGGGAGAGG
RNAcentral lists this ribosomal RNA (619 nucleotides) under uncultured bacterium. RNAcentral's name for it is "bacterial SSU rRNA". It matches the Rfam family "Bacterial small subunit ribosomal RNA", at positions 338 to 947 of the family's 1533-position model. The record is from RNAcentral.